This 574-nucleotide long non-coding RNA is filed under the name Panicum hallii. RNAcentral describes it as "long non-coding RNA (PHAL_LNC000675)". Lineage: Eukaryota; Viridiplantae; Streptophyta; Magnoliopsida; Poales; Poaceae. The record is from RNAcentral.
CCACAUUAUAUAGAGAUAGCUUAGCUAAGGUCUUAGUAUUUAUCAGUUGUAAAGUUUGGUCAAAAUGGAGAAGAAAAAAUAUCCAUGAGCUCCCAAUAAUUUAUGCUAACUUGAUUCUACCUCAGCCUUCCUCUCAAAUCUUAUUGGAAUAGCAGGAAGAACAGACAGGUGAUAAACUCAAUGCUGACCACAACAUGUUUGUUAACCCAUUUAUUAGCACAACUCAUGGAACCUGCAGUGCUCCACAUGGCUGUCGCUCUUAGCAGCUUAUAGUCAUGGUGGCCACAGCUGAACCUGGAAGCCUCUGAAGAACUGAUCAGUUAGAUUGUAAAAUGUACUGAAACCUGAAAUAGCGGAGCUGAAAAAUAUACAAAUUAGAUAAAUCUGUAGAUAGUGAUAGAUCAGCACAAUCCUGUGUAAAUAUUGAUAAGGCCAAAAUUUACUACCUGCAUUGGUUCCUAGGAGAAUCAGUGUAUCCAAGCAACUUGCCGAUGAACUUGGUUUGCUUUCAACAUAUCAAUUAUGAAUGGCUAUUGCAAUGUGUGAAUAAAGAAAAGAAUUCAUGUAUUCAUAC